GUUAACUUUCAGUGCUCGGUCGUUGUGCAACACCUGUCAGACGUCUGAUCAACAUUCCCACAUCAAGAUAUGUGUCCUAAAGCAAUGCUACUGACAACCGUUCUUAUCCUAUGUUUUGGUUCAGCACAAGCGGACGAACUGGGUGAUGGAUCAAAAGCUGCUAUUGGCGUAGUGACUCCCUGCGUCGGGGCGGCUCUGAUCUACAUGAUUUAUAGGAUUUAUAAGUAUGGACCAAAGAAAGGACUUAUCUGCUGCAGGGAGGGUAAGUAAUACUAUUUUUCAUCUU
Long non-coding RNA from Haliotis rubra (blacklip abalone), 286 nucleotides. RefSeq lists it as uncharacterized. NCBI's taxonomy places the organism in Eukaryota, Metazoa, Mollusca, Gastropoda, Lepetellida, Haliotidae. The record is from RefSeq and is a predicted model, not a curated record. The transcript has 3 exons.